This is a long non-coding RNA of Stegastes partitus (bicolor damselfish), 649 nucleotides long. RefSeq lists it as uncharacterized. The record is from RefSeq and is a predicted model, not a curated record. The transcript is spliced from 4 exons. Lineage: Eukaryota; Metazoa; Chordata; Actinopteri; Pomacentridae.
GGAGGGUGACGUUACAGAUGACCACUCCAAGCCUGGAUUUGUUUGUUUCCAAAGCGAUUGGGACAUCAGCUCUUCAGUAUCAACACCAAAUCCAAUUACAGCUGUGCAAUGCCAAAAUGAAACCUGCUGUGUCAAACCGGACUACGAGGACAUUUGCUCAGAUUUUACAGCGACCUUCACUUCAGGAAACUGUGUGAACUCUUCCUUUACCCGCACCACAAACAUCCCUGUUGAUCCAAGUGAAAUAGACCAACCACGUCCCACUGGACUUCCUGCAACAAUUAAUCCAAUGUUACCUCCAAACUGCAGAGAUCUCACAGUUGAUUACACCUGUUCAGAAAGUGGAAAAGCCUCCAAGAACCUGUCUGAGCUGGAGCCUUUCACAGACUACAACUGUACGGGUCUGAUUAAGGUCAAUAACAUCUUCAUAAAUAAGAUAACUCCACCGAUCCCCGUCAGGAUCGACUGUCGUUUCACAAUAAAAGAAACAAAGAACAAGAUAAGCAACACUUCCAUUGAGCUGAACUGGGAAACAACCAGUGAGAACUGCAAAGUUGACCUCACUCAACUUCCGAACCUUUCUCAUAUCUGCAGCUGUGGGAAAAGUAAAAGUCAACGUAAGUAAAAUAACUUGGAGUCACUCUGCCUU